CACCGCGGUUAUACGAGAGACCCAAGUUGAUAGAUACCGGCGUAAAGAGUGGUUAAGACAAAUUAAUAACUAAAGCCGAACCCCCUCAGAGCUGUUAUACGCACCCGAGGGUAAGAAGUUCAAUUACGAAAGUGGCUUUACACCACCUGAACCCACGAAAGCUAUGAUA
Molecule: ribosomal RNA, 169 nt
Filed under: Scombrops boops
Lineage: Eukaryota; Metazoa; Chordata; Actinopteri; Scombriformes; Scombropidae
Description: partial 12S ribosomal RNA
Source: RNAcentral